CCUACGGGAGGCAGCAGUGGGGGAUAUUGCACAAUGGGGGGAACCCUGAUGCAGCGACGCCGCGUGGGUGAAGGAGCGUUUCGGCGCGUAAAGCCCUAUCGGCAGGGAAGAAGAAGGACGGUACCUGACUAAGACGCCCCGGCUAACUACGUGCCAGCAGCCGCGGUAAUACGUAGGGGGCAAGCGUUAUCCGGAUUUACUGGGUGUAAGGGGGGCGCAGACGGCAGCGCAAGCCAGGAGUGAAAGCCCGGGGCCCAACCCCGGGACUGCUCUUGGAACUGCGCGGCUGGAGUGCAGGAGGGGCAGGCGGAAUUCCUGGUGUAGCGGUGAAAUGCGUAGAUAUCAGGAGGAACACCGGUGGCGAAGGCGGCCUGCUGGACUGCGACUGACGUUGAGGCCCGAAAGCGUGGGGAGCAAACAGGAUUAGAUACCCGUGUAGUC
RNAcentral lists this ribosomal RNA (441 nucleotides) under uncultured bacterium. RNAcentral's name for it is "partial 16S ribosomal RNA". It matches the Rfam family "Bacterial small subunit ribosomal RNA", at positions 338 to 795 of the family's 1533-position model. The record is from RNAcentral.